AACGAACGCUGGCGGCAGGCCUAACACAUGCAAGUCGAGCGAACCCUUCGGGGUUAGCGGCGGACGGGUUAGUAACGCGUGGGAAUAUACCCUUUGGUACGGAAUAGCCUCGGGAAACUGAGAGUAAUACCGUAUGUGCCCUUCGGGGGAAAGAUUUAUCGCCAAAGGAUUAGCCCGCGUUGGAUUAGAUAGUUGGUGGGGUAAUGGCCUACCAAGUCUACGAUCCAUAGCUGGUUUGAGAGGAUGAUCAGCAACACUGGGACUGAGACACGGCCCAGACUCCUACGGGAGGCAGCAGUGGGGAAUCUUAGACAAUGGGCGCAAGCCUGAUCUAGCCAUGCCGCGUGGACGAUGAAGGCCUUAGGGUUGUAAAGUCCUUUCAGAUGGGAAGAUAAUGACGGUACCAUCAGAAGAAGCCCCGGCUAACUCCGUGCCAG
This 437-nucleotide ribosomal RNA is filed under the name uncultured bacterium. RNAcentral's name for it is "bacterial SSU rRNA". It matches the Rfam family "Bacterial small subunit ribosomal RNA", at positions 29 to 511 of the family's 1533-position model. The record is from RNAcentral.